This is a long non-coding RNA of Clupea harengus (Atlantic herring), 1328 nucleotides long. The record is from Ensembl. NCBI's taxonomy places the organism in Eukaryota, Metazoa, Chordata, Actinopteri, Clupeiformes, Clupeidae.
GGCGCUGCUAAUGUAACUUUCCCGCUUAAAAUUAGCGUUCGGUGGCGUAUGUGCUACGUCUCGUCUGUAGCUAGCGUUAGCUCUCCGGCUAAUUUCGUGCACUGUUUCGUGUGCUUUGCUACUCUGGCCCAAAGACUUCAACUGCUGCUGGGCUAAUUCGUGCGAACGAGCUAUGUCUGGCUUUCUCCAGCGUCAGGUCAGCUCCCUGGCAUAAAAGUUUUUCCCUUACCCGGGUCGAGUUGGUGGCGAACACGAUGCGGUCCCUGACCAUUUCAUCACUAAAGUCAUUAGGGUAUACACAGUCUUUCACCAGUAGCUUCAACUCCGUUAUAAAUUGUUCAAAAGACUCACUUUCUCCUUGCAUCUUUUCGUUGAAACGGUACCUCGCAUAGAUGGGGUUGGCUUUCGGUGUGAUGUAUGCCUUGUAUCUAUUGUAGUACGUGUCCAGCUUCUUGCCCUGAUCCUCGGUGAUUGUCCAAGUGUUGUAGACAUCGCGCCCUUUUUCUCCUAUCACAGCAGGAGGUAGCUGCACUUCUCUUCCUCGGUCUUCCUACGCAGGGGUCCCUUGAACAUUAGCUCCGUCGUCUGCUGAAACCGUCGCCAUGCCUCAGGUAAGUUGCUAGCUUCCCAAUCCAUCCUUGGAACUGCCACGCCAUAUGCAUCCAUUAUGUUUUCUUUUUUUUUUUCUUUACGCGGUAAGUACUUUAUCCUCUAUGUCUGACACCAUGUAAUGUUUUGCCCUCUGGCAUACAUAAACUUAACCUAUAUACUUUAGUAUAAACUCAGGCUGACGACCGACUUCAUUUCGUGCUGGUUUAUUCACCGGGGUUUUUCCAACUGCCGUCAAUACGUCAUUCCUGAACGUACACCUUGGGCUACGGUGUGCACCGUGUGACAAACAGUCACAACAGAUAUUACACUGAUGUGUCAACAUGCUUUGGAGAAUAAGCUGAACUUAAAAUGUGUCAUUAGUAGAAAGCUGGGCGACGCACAGGGUUUCACUGAUCUCUCAAAGGGGCUUCCUUCUCCUCGAAGAUCUCUGCACAUGGAUCUCCCGCCUGGAAGUUUACAGAUUUGACGACGUUCAAGCGUGGAAAAGUAAGUAUUACUAGUGUUGAGUGUCGUUUUGACAAUUUUAUCUUAGUUAUCAAGUGUUUUUGAAGAACUGAAUGAUUUUCACAAAACGCAUUUUGGCUAAAAUAUUAUUUCUUCAGAUGUGCUAGUUCGAAUAGCUCCGUCUGCUUUUGCAACGCCUCAAUGUCAACGUCGCACCAUGCUUCGGUCAAUAUAGCUUUUUCCACAAUUUACCGUCGUUAAACAAUUCUUUU